GGGCAAUUAGCUCAGUUGGUUAGAGCACCGUCCUGAUAAGACGGGGGUCAGUAGUUCGAGUCUACUAUUGCCCACCA
Molecule: transfer RNA, 77 nt
Filed under: Candidatus Shapirobacteria bacterium CG_4_10_14_0_2_um_filter_40_12
Lineage: Bacteria; Candidatus Shapironibacteriota
Description: tRNA-Ile
Rfam family: tRNA
About the family: Transfer RNA (tRNA) molecules are approximately 80 nucleotides in length. Their secondary structure includes four short double-helical elements and three loops (D, anti-codon, and T loops).
Source: RNAcentral